This is a long non-coding RNA of Oreochromis niloticus (Nile tilapia), 247 nucleotides long. RefSeq lists it as uncharacterized. The transcript is spliced from 3 exons. The record is from RefSeq and is a predicted model, not a curated record. NCBI's taxonomy places the organism in Eukaryota, Metazoa, Chordata, Actinopteri, Cichliformes, Cichlidae.
CUGAUUUCUUAACCUUUCACUUGUAUUUAUCUCCACUGUUGUGUUGUGUUACAGAGGUGAUGGUGAGCGGUGCUAAGGCAGACUUGGCACUGCAAGAUGCAGACAGGAACACAGCAUUGCAUUUGGCUUGCAGCAAGGGUCACGAGACAAGUGCCUUGUUGAUUCUGGAGAAAAUCAGCGACAGGAAUCUCAUUAACUGCACCAACGCUGCUCUGCAGACGCCCUUGCAUGUAGCAGCCAGGAAGGA